CCAUGCGCUCAAACCUGACGAGCGAAGCGGUCAGACCGGAGAUAAUAACUGCAUGGCUUUUCAACGAUAGUGACAACUGAGGAACACCAAGUGGCUGACACAGCGUGGUGGCUUUAUUGCUGCUGGACAGGUCACCCUGUGCAUCUCACCAGUACACUGACCAGACCAAGCUGGCUGGCCUGGAUCACAACCACCGUGUCCACAGUCCAGCCAGGAGAAAAGCUGAUCACACAAUUCAGUACAGCAAGGUGUACAACAAAAAGUCCAGGAAGUGGAGCUUGU
Molecule: long non-coding RNA, 282 nt
Organism: Micropterus dolomieu (smallmouth bass)
Lineage: Eukaryota; Metazoa; Chordata; Actinopteri; Centrarchiformes; Centrarchidae
Exons: 3
Source: RefSeq, a predicted model, not a curated record